This 405-nucleotide ribosomal RNA is filed under the name uncultured Eubacteriales bacterium. RNAcentral describes it as "uncultured Clostridiales bacterium partial 16S ribosomal RNA". It matches the Rfam family "Bacterial small subunit ribosomal RNA", at positions 355 to 774 of the family's 1533-position model. The record is from RNAcentral. Lineage: Bacteria; Bacillati; Bacillota; Clostridia; Eubacteriales.
UGGGGAAUAUUGGGCAAUGGAGGAAACUCUGACCCAGCAACGCCGCGUGAAGGAAGAAGGUUUUCGGAUUGUAAACUUCUGUCGCAGGGGACGAAAGAAAUGACGGUACCCUGCAAGAAAGCUCCGGCUAACUACGUGCCAGCAGCCGCGGUAAUACGUAGGGAGCAAGCGUUGUCCGGAAUUACUGGGCGUAAAGGGUGCGUAGGCGGCCAUGCAAGUCAGAUGUGAAAUCCCCGGGCUCAACCUGGGUGUUGCAUUUGAAACUAUGUGGCUUGAGUGCAGGAGAGGAAAGCGGAAUUCCUAGUGUAGCGGUGAAAUGCGUAGAUAUUAGGAGGAACACCAGUGGCGAAGGCGGCUUUCUGGACUGUAACUGACGCUGAGGCACGAAAGCGUGGGGAGCAAACA